This 1160-nucleotide transfer RNA is filed under the name Neorhizobium galegae. Its description in RNAcentral is "partial 16S-23S intergenic spacer". The stretch from base 431 to 504 matches the Rfam family "tRNA". Lineage: Bacteria; Pseudomonadati; Pseudomonadota; Alphaproteobacteria; Hyphomicrobiales; Rhizobiaceae. The record is from RNAcentral.
CUAAGGAAGCUGUGGACGGUAAGACGACCGGCACAUGUCGCAAGACAUGGCCCGGUAUGAACCUUCCCGUGCUUUUUAGAACAAUAGAUGGCACCAGUCAGGUGACCAUCGAAACGCAAUACGCCACGGAAUUGCCUCGGCAAUAGGAUGGUAUGGCGAACCCGCCGACUACGUUUCUCUUUCUUCAAGAAGACAAAAAACCGCACGACCGGUUUGACUGAAUGGGCCCGUAGCUCAGUUGGUUAGAGCACACGCUUGAUAAGCGUGGGGUCGGUAGUUCGAGUCUACCCGGGGCCCACCAUUUUGUUUGAAAAAGCAGAUGGCUUGGCGCCGCACGGGUGGCGAACACAGUUGAAUGGCGCGCGGAUUAUGGUGUUGAUGAACGGGCUUUGUGCUGACGCUGUCGGCUGCAAGCUGUUCCCAAGUGAUUGGGGCUGUAGCUCAGCUGGGGAGAGCACCUGCUUUGCAAGCAGGGGGUCAGCGGUUCGAUCCCGCUCAGCUCCACCAUAUUUUGUCCUGACGCUGUCGCGGCCUUGCUCGAGUUUGAGUAUGGCAGCAAUACAGCGCAGAGCGCGUCGCCAAUCGUUUGGCGCCCCUGCGGAGCGCCUGCGGCGCGUGAGCACAAAAGUUGUCUUCUGAAGAAAAUAAAAGUUUGCAUCACUUCGAUGAAGUGCUGCCUGUUCUGCAAAAAUCGUGAAGAGAAGAUUGAUCUGGAGGCUUCCAGGUAUGGGUUUAGGCCCAUGUCCGAAGCCGGUUCCAAUGAUGUCGUUGAUGGCCUAGCCGGCCGGAUACGAAAGAGGGGCCGGAAUAGGUAGGAAGCUUGUCACUCUGGUCGGUCGUUGUUGUCAUUUUGAAGACUUGUCCUGAAGGAAUGGCUCUGAUGACUUACUGAUGGCCGUUGCCUGACCGCGCGGUCCUGGAUCACAUCUCGAGAAGCUGGUCUUAAAGACAAGUUUGCAAGCGGGUCGCUCGGCGUGACCCCAAUCAAGCAAGCUUGUCGAACACGUCGAUGGCAUCAUGAGAAGGGCUGGUUGUAAAAGGUAACCGGUCCGCCACGCAUUGGGUCUGAAAGCCCGAUGGGUGGCUAUAUUGAUGAGCAUUGGCAAUGAGAACGAUUAAGUGUGCGUAAGGGCAUUUGGUGGAUGCCUGCAUGCACAGCG